RNAcentral lists this ribosomal RNA (102 nucleotides) under [Mycoplasma] imitans. Its description in RNAcentral is "Mycoplasma imitans partial 23S ribosomal RNA". The stretch from base 13 to 102 matches the Rfam family "Bacterial large subunit ribosomal RNA", at positions 1 to 90 of the family's 2925-position model. The record is from RNAcentral. Lineage: Bacteria; Bacillati; Mycoplasmatota; Mycoplasmoidales; Mycoplasmoidaceae.
AAUGGAUCAAAUACAUAAGUUACUAAGGGCUUAUGGUGGAUGCCUUGGCACUAGAAGGCGAUGAAGGACGUGCAAACCUGCGAAAAGCUACGGGGAGCUGGU